AGUGAACGCUGGCGGUAGGCCUAACACAUGCAAGUCGAACGGCAGCACAGUAAGAGCUUGCUCUUACGGGUGGCGAGUGGCGGACGGGUGAGGAAUACAUCGGAAUCUACUUUUUCGUGGGUGAUAACGUAGGGAAACUUACGCUAAUACCGCAUACGACCUACGGGUUAAAGCAGGGGAUCUUCGGACCUUGCGCGUUUGAAUGAGCCGAUGUCGGAUUAGCUAGUUGGCGAGGUAAAGGCCCACCAAGGCGACGAUCCGUAGCUGGUCUGAGAGGAUGAUCAGCCACACUGGAACUGAGACACGGUCCAGACUCCUACGGGAGGCAGCAGUGGGGAAUAUUGGACAAUGGGCGCAAGCCUGAUCCAGCAAUACCGCGUGGGUGAAGAAGGCCUUCGGGUUGUAAAGCCCUGUUGUUGGGAAAGAAAAGCAGCAGGUUAAUACCCCGCUGUUCUGACGGUACCCAAAGAAUAAGCACCGGCUAACUUCGUG
RNAcentral lists this ribosomal RNA (492 nucleotides) under uncultured bacterium. RNAcentral's name for it is "partial 16S ribosomal RNA". It matches the Rfam family "Bacterial small subunit ribosomal RNA", at positions 29 to 507 of the family's 1533-position model. The record is from RNAcentral.